Molecule: non-coding RNA, 149 nt
Organism: Caenorhabditis elegans
Lineage: Eukaryota; Metazoa; Nematoda; Chromadorea; Rhabditida; Rhabditidae
Source: Ensembl
UCAAGAACAGAUGCGCAUAAAUUGUUCAUACUGAAAUAUAGGAACAUGAUAGUUGCAUAUCAGUAUCGACAACAAUUAUUCCAGAAACGAGAAUUUUACUCACUCAAGAUUUGGAUUUCCACUUUGUUUCAUUUGUUGUAAAUAUGCAU